AUACAUUUAACAACCAGACUGUACCAAAAUAAAUAAAUAUAGAGGCUGUCAUCAGCAUUAAUGUAAUUGUCUUUAAAUAUUAGAAGUAAUCUGUGAUCUGAGUUAACACGGAGGACUCGUUGACAGAAUGACAGUUGACUUGAUCGGAAAUAAAGCCACUGCGAGUUGUGCUGCAAAGCUUUCAAUCUCUCAUAGCUAAUCAUCACAUCACUCAUUACAGAGAGACUGAUAACAGUGAGAGAUGGCUUCCGUCGUAUUAGCUUCUCUCAAGGCAACAAUGGAGUUUGAGAUUCAGCAGCCCAGCCCCCGGGUGCUCCCCGAUGACCUAAUACAGAUGGGAUCUCUCAUUCAACAUCUUUCUACCUUGCAAGCCUUCAUGAAGAAAUUCCACAUCAAAGCCUUCGAGGAUGCCAAAAUCAAAAGUGUGGAGAACCAAAUCAAACACGUUUCUCUUAAAGCAGAAGACAAGAUUGAGAUUCAACUCAGAAACGUUCUCCUGGCGGUAGGCGAAAAGCGGAAAGAAGACGCUCGCAGAGAGAUCCAUGGAAUCCUGGAGGAAAUCAGAAAAGACAUAGACAAAUUGUUGGAGACCGUGAAGCAGCACGAUAGCUCGUUAGCUGAUUGCUCGCAAUUUCUUCCCGACCAGGACACUAUCCCUCUCACGCCGCGUAAGGAAGAAAUGGUGGGAAACCGUGAGGAGUUGGAGCAGAUAAUUAAGCAACUCAAAUGCAAGACUGAAGAACGACAAAUUAUCUCAAUUUCUGGAAUGGGAGGCAUCGGCAAGACGACUUUAGCAAGAACAAUCUAUGAUGAUCCAGUUACAAAUCAUUUUGAUGUUCGUGCUUGGACUACAAUGUCACAACAAUAUGAGGGGAAACAAACUCUCAUUGCCCUUCUUCGAUGCAUUACGACCUUGACCCCCGAAGAAAUUAAGACGUCAACCAAGGAGGAUUUAGCAGAUCGAUUACAAAAGCUGUUGAAGGGAAGAAGGUAUCUAAUUGUUGUGGAUGAUGUAUGGAGUGUUGAAGCUUGGGAUGAUAUCAAACGUUGUUUUCCGAAUGAAAUUAAUAAUAAGGGGAGCAUCUUAUUAUUGACUACUCGAGACAAAAAGGUGGCUAAGUAUACUCAUUCAGGUAACUCACCUUAUGGCUUGAAACUUUUAAAUGAAGUGGAUAGUUGGGUUCUAUUUUCUAGAAACCUUGAUUUUGAAAUACGCUUUCCAAAAUCACUGGGUUAUGAGGACGUUGGGAAGAAAAUCGCUAAACAAUGCCAAGGAUUACCCCUUUCCAUUGUUGUAGUUGUGGGGAUUCUGCUCAGUAAAGGAUCAUUGGGUGAAUGGGAGAAAAUUCGAGAAGAAUUAGCAUUGAUAUUAACAGUUGAUGAACAAUGUACAAAAAUUCCAGCUUUGAGUUACAAACACUUGCCUCUGCAUUUGAAACCUUGUUUUCUACAUUUGGGAGUCUUUCCAGAAGACAGUGAGAUGCCUGCCAAAAAGCUUGUUAGGUUGUGGAUUGCCGAGGGGUUUGUGAAAGUAGGUAAUGGCAAGGCAUUGAAAGACAUGAAAAAAGCAUUGGAUGAGAUGGAAAAGACAGUAGUGGAAGACAUGGACAAUACAUUGGUAAUGGACAAGGCAUUGCAAGGCAUGGACAACACAUUGAAAGAUAUGGGCAGGGCAUUAGAAGACACAGCUCUCGAGUACUUACAAGCUCUUAUUAGUAAAAGCUUGAUUCUCAUUCGCAAUCAGAGCUCUAAUGGUGAAGUCAAGACAUGCAGAAUGCAUGAUCUCUUGCAUGACUUUUGUGUGAACAAAGCUGAAGAUGAGAACCUUUUGUAUGCUGGUAGCAUGAGAAGAUUUAGAACAGUGAAGAAUUUAAAUGAUGGUGGAAGUACAAGCAAUGAUGAUGGAAGUAAAAGCAAUGAUGGUGGAAGUACAAGCAAUGAUGAUGGAAGUAAAAGGAAUGAUGAUGGAAGUAAAAGCAAUGAUGAAAGUACAAGCAACGGUGGAAGUGUAAAGCACGAAGGAUUUCGUUGGUUGAGUUUUUGGCCAAAUUAUGGAAAUGUUUAUAUUUGCUAUAAUUUGGACAAAUCUCGCUCCCUAUCUUUUCUGCAUAGAGAUGCUAUUCCAACACUUAUUGGCCAGUGUUUACCGUCUAACUUGUUAAGAGUGUUGGAUUUGAUUGAAUUACCACCAUUAUCUAAUGAAAUUUUCAUGAGUUUAAGGGAUCUAGUUCUUCUGAGGUACAUGGAUAUAGCCUUGGAUGACUGUCUAAGUCCUGAAGAGCUCGUGGAUGUUGUUUCUAAGACUCAAAAUUUGCAAACACUUAUUAUUUCUCAGAAUGGAACGGGCUUCAGUGAUAUGUGUUUGCCAUCUAAACUUUUGAAGUCACCACAGCUGAGGCAUGUUGAGGUUAGCUAUGCUCUUUCAGUGGAUCCUCCAAGAAAGGUCAAAGAGGCCUUGCACACAUUGUACUGGUUGAGUCUAGACCAUUGUACCAAGGAAGUCUUUUCCAGGAUUCCAAAUGUAAAAAAGUUGGGGAUUAUUUGUGGAUCUAAGCCAAGUCCAAAGGCCAUAGAGCCUGCUAAUCUUGAGAAUCUUGAAAGUUUGGUGGAUAAGCUCGAGACAUUAAUGAUUGCAUUCCGAAAAGGCUCACCAACAGGCCUUCAGAGUCUGAAGUCUUUGCCACUAAACCUCAACAUCAAGAAAUUGAAACUGAAGAGAACUUGUUUGCCGUGGAGUGAAAUAAACUUAAUUGGCAUGUUGCCCAAUCUUGAAGUACUGAAACUGAAAGAAGUUUCUGAUGGUCCAGAUUGGGAACCCACAGAGGGAAACUUCAGUAAGCUAAAAUUCUUGUACCUUGAAGCUGAAAAACUUGAAAGUUGGGAGGUCGAUGGAGGGGAUCAGUUUCGUUGCCUUAAGCACCUAGUCCUUAAAAAGUGUACAAAAUUGAAAGCUAUUCCAACUGGCUUUGAAGAUGUAAACACACUGGAGUCAAUUGAGUUACUAAAUUGCCCCCUCCCUGUUAAGGAAUCUGCCCGAGAAAUUAGUGAUAACCGGGAGACUUAUGGAAGCAAACCCAUCAAUAUUCGCCAUGUGGACCAAAUACAAGAAGUUGAUGAUGAUGAAGAUGCUGAUGAUUCUUCCGAAUAAAGGUAUUGAAUGGGUUACAAGGUAGGCUUCGGCUGGAGCGCACAUUCGGAUAGCGUUUGUGGGCUUUCCGGAUGUUUGAAGUGUAUUCUUUCCUCAGGGUUAGCAAGGAUUUGCAGUGUGCCCAAUUCCUAGGAGUCUGCUUCUGGUGAUUCAUACAUUUUGAAGUUUGCUUUUUAGUUAUCAUUGAAAUACUGAAUUCAUAAAGCUUUACUUUGUGUUGAUUAGAAUGAUGAUUGCACUUUGUAUAAUAUAAUGGUGUAAACUAUUGAGUUUAUUUAAUAAGAAUGCUUUAUCAACUUCAUAA
Ipomoea triloba (trilobed morning glory) is the source of this 3452-nucleotide RNA transcript. It is a transcript of the gene named putative late blight resistance protein homolog R1A-10, with no coding region annotated. The transcript has 5 exons. The record is from RefSeq and is a predicted model, not a curated record. Lineage: Eukaryota; Viridiplantae; Streptophyta; Magnoliopsida; Solanales; Convolvulaceae.